CAGCCGCCGCGGGAACACGUAGGUGGCAAGCGUUAUCCGGAAUUAUUGGGCGUAAAGGGCUCGCAGGCGGUUUCUUAAGUCUGAUGUGAAAGCCCCCGGCUCAACCGGGGAGGGUCAUUGGAAACUGGGAAACUUGAGUGCAGAAGAGGAGAGUGGAACUCCACGUGUAGCGGUGAAAUGCGUAGAGAUGUGGAGGAACACCAGUGACGAAGGCGACUCUCUGGUCUGUAACUGACGCUGAGGAGCGAAAGCGUGGGGAGCGAACAGGAUUAGAGACCCGAGUAGUCCCUGUCUCUUAUAC
Molecule: ribosomal RNA, 301 nt
Filed under: uncultured bacterium
Lineage: Bacteria
Description: partial 16S ribosomal RNA
Rfam family: Bacterial small subunit ribosomal RNA
Source: RNAcentral